UAAUUAAUUUUUUGUUUGAUAAUUUAUUUUAAAUAUAUAUAAAUAAGUGACAAUGAAAACUAUUAUAUGUUUAUAUAAAAUUAUAGUUUAUUAAUUUAAAAUUUUAAUUUAAUUUACAGGUCAGAGCAAAUCCUUAUUACUACAAAGGACGUCCUCGUUUGAACACUGCCAAUGAACUUCUAAACACUAGCUUGGAGCUUGAGCAAAGACUUCAUGAGGUUUCAUUACCAUUUAUGGUACUACACGGAGGAGAU
This is a long non-coding RNA of Hibiscus syriacus, 254 nucleotides long. RefSeq lists it as uncharacterized. Lineage: Eukaryota; Viridiplantae; Streptophyta; Magnoliopsida; Malvales; Malvaceae. The record is from RefSeq and is a predicted model, not a curated record. The transcript has 2 exons.